Molecule: ribosomal RNA, 371 nt
Filed under: uncultured organism
Description: bacterial SSU rRNA
Rfam family: Bacterial small subunit ribosomal RNA
Source: RNAcentral
CGAAGGGGGCUAGCGUUGUUCGGAAUCACUGGGCGUAAAGGGCGCGUAGGCGGCCGAUUAAGUCGGGGGUGAAAGCCUGUGGCUCAACCACAGAAUUGCCUUCGAUACUGAUUGGCUUGAGACCGGAAGAGGUCAGUGGAACUGCGAGUGUAGAGGUGAAAUUCGUAGAUAUUCGCAAGAACACCAGUGGCGAAGGCGGCUGACUGGUCCGGUUCUGACGCUGAGGCGCGAAAGCGUGGGGGAGCAAACAGGAUUAGAUACCCUGGUAGUCCACGCCGUAAACGAUGAAUGCCAGCCGUUGGCGAGCUUGCUCGUCAGUGGCGCAGCUAACGCUUUAAGCAUUCCGCCUGGGGAGUACGGUCGCAAGAUUA